RNAcentral lists this ribosomal RNA (253 nucleotides) under uncultured bacterium. RNAcentral's name for it is "partial 16S ribosomal RNA". It matches the Rfam family "Bacterial small subunit ribosomal RNA", at positions 524 to 776 of the family's 1533-position model. The record is from RNAcentral.
UACGUAGGUGGCAAGCGUUGUCCGGAAUUAUUGGGCGUAAAGCGCGCGCAGGCGGUCCUUUAAGUCUGAUGUGAAAGCCCACGGCUCAACCGUGGAGGGUCAUUGGAAACUGGGGGACUUGAGUGCAGAAGAGGAAAGCGGAAUUCCACGUGUAGCGGUGAAAUGCGUAGAGAUGUGGAGGAACACCAGUGGCGAAGGCGGCUUUCUGGUCUGUAACUGACGCUGAUGCGCGAAAGCGUGGGGAGCAAACAGG